CGUUUCAAAUCUCAAAUAUCAUGAAUUGAGAAAAUCUACUAGCAUCCAUCAAUAUAUAGAUUCAGAAAAUAUAUAGAUUCAAUAUCCGAUAUUGAUACUCGAUAUAUAGAUACGAUUCGAUACGUGGCAAAACCGAUAUUACCCACUCCUAGUACUGACUUAAUAUGGGGCCCAAAUGUCAUAUUUUUGUUAAGGGUGACGCCUAGGUACUUAGCCUUCGAAGCCCAGGUUAUGGGCUGACCAAAGAUUUUAAUGGCGGGAAUGGAGUUUCCGCGCCUAAUUCGUAAUGAAAUAAGUACUAGCAGUACUAUGCGUCGACUUCUUCAUUAUUAUUUUGAGAAGGUUGUUGCUGUGAUUUAAUUUCUAAAAUUGAAGAAUUUAUUAUAUUUGUUGCUCGAUAACAUGUUGAUUAUUAAUAAUUUGAUGGUUUUUACCAAAACAGAAAAAAACCAAUGUCAAUUUACAAAGAUGUAAAAUCGAUUUCAUUUUGUGUUUUUGGCUGAAGAAAUCGAUUCGUCGAUUAAGCGAUGUCAGAUCGCCCUCCAUAAGCCUGAGGCUGAGGAGCGGGGAAAAGUUUUGAAGUUUGAAGUUUUUCGUAUCUGCGAGUGAACUUGAUUAUUUUGUUUACGUACGUGCAAUAAGCCGACCGCAAUAAAAUGAAAAUUCGGACUAAUAAUUUUUCAUCUUUAUAUCGCAUUUUUGAAUGCGAUCUAAGAACAAUAAAAUCGUGUUUCCGGGCUAUUACUGUACCCGAUAGAUUGUACAGUGAUGACAGCCGUGUGGAGGCGGCGGCCUCAUUAAGCGACCUACAUGGUCGUCGACACAACUACCUGCGAAUAUCUCUCACUGAGCGAUGCAACCUGCGAUGUAAGUCAUACUAGACACAUCAUCAUAUUUUCACACGUCUACACUUUAGUUUUCAGACUAUCUGCAUCAAUGAUCUAAAAAUUGUUUGUUCAUAAAUAAGAUCACAAGACACAAAUGAAGAAGUCAAUAAUUAAAUUAUAAUCAUCAAAACUAGUUGAACUAGCCCAGUCUGUACUGCUGAAUCAACAGAACCGUUUUUAUGUACAAUAUUAUCCACAAUAAGUGGCUUAUUUUGUGUUAAUAUAUAUUGCCUCAUGCUUUAUUACAUUAACAACACCACGUGACUGCAUGAACUAGUCUCAGAAUCGAUUUGACCUUACCCAGUUAUCAUUCUAUGAAAAGGCAAAAAAUAUAUUAGAUAACACAUACGCAUGUCUGCUGCAAACAUUAACACUAAACAUUGUUGAUUGUUGAUAUUAUGGAGCUUGCAAGUAAAUAGUCAAUAUAGAUAUGUAUGUAUAAUUUUAUAUAAAAAACAGCUUUUCAAAAAUGAAUAUUUCUUUAUAAUGAUUGACAGCAAAGAUUGAAUCAGUUAAUUUAGAAAAAAGGAGUGGCGAGGGUACUAAAUGUAAUUGUAGUGAAAGGUUAUGAGAUAACUCUAUAAUUUAAAAUUUUAAUGAACAAUCCUAUUGUGCUAAAAAUAGCUUUGAUGAUGAUGUUUCAUAGCUCUUUAAUAGAUACUUCUUGAACAUUGAAGUUAUUGUGGUCUAAAGGAUAAGAUACCGGGUGUAUAUACAAAUGUGUAUCUAGUUAUGCAACUGGGCUGCUGUUUGAAUCCUGCAGGCAGGAACCAGUUUUUCUGCUAAAAAACAUACAUAAAAAAUGUUCAUGAAAAGCUAACAUGAUGAAGGAAAAACAGUGUAUACAAAAAAUGAAACCUGCAACAAUUUUAAUUUGCAUAAUUACUGGUGGUAGGUACCAUAACCCUGCCUAUUUCUGCCGUCAAGCAGUAAUGCGUUUCAGUUUAAAGAGGGGCAGACUGUAUUGAAAAAACUUAGAACUCAAGCCUCAAGGUGGGUGGCAGCAUUUAUAUUUGUUGAUCCCUAUGGGCUCUGGUGACCACUUAACACCAAGUGGGCUUGAACUACUUGAUUACAUACGUAAGCAAUAAAUAAAAUCGACUAUACAAUAUUUUUUUCUUCCACUGAAAAGGGUAAUGUUCCAGAGUAAUGAGGUUGUUUGGAACUUCUGGGUCUGUAGAGGGGCUUCGGUUCCGUCUGUAUUUUGUACCGUAUGUUCCAUGGGGAGUGCUCUGAGGAAUUGUUUGAGAUGAUACCAUCGUCUCGUUUUUACCAUCGCACCGCCCGUUACCGGAGUAGAGUUCAUCCAUACUACCUGGAGCCACUGCAUUCAUCCAUAGUGCCCUUUUUAGAGAUCUUUUUUGCCAUGUACCAUCUGGCUUUUGAAUAAGCUCCACUCCAUGGUGAUUCCCGAACGCUAUAACAUAUCCUUCUUCAAACGAGACUUGUGGAGAGUCAUUCUUACUUAACGGUAGGCAGUGGCUUGGCUCUGCCUCUGGCAUUGCUGAAGUCCAUGGGCGAAGGUAACCAUUCACUGCAACGGCUGCCCCACCCUUCAAACCGAAACGCAUUACUGCUUCACGGCAGAAAUAGGUAGGGCAGUGGUACCCACCCGCGCGGACUCACAAGAGGUCCUACCACCAGUAAUUACGUAGAUUAUAAUUUUGCGGGUUUGAUUUUUAUUACACGAUGUUAUUCCUUUACCGUGGAAGUCAAUCGUGAACAUUUGUUGAGUACGUAUUUCAUUAGAAAAAUUGGUACCCGCCUGAGAUUCGAACACCGGUGCAUCGCUCAACACGAAUGCGCCGGUCGUCUUAUCCGUUAGGCCACGACGACUUUCUAUUUCUAAACAUUAACAAUUGUAUGAACAACUAUUCGUAAUGAGCUUUUUUUAAAUGGGUUUAUUUUAAUUCGAUUCUCACGGAUCGUUUGGAAUUUCUGGGUCUGCGAAGGGACUUCGCUUUUCUCUGUAUUUUGUACCGUAUGUUCCAUGAGGAGUGCUUUGAGGGAUUGUUUGAGAUGAUACCAUCAUCUCGUUUUUACCAUCCACCACCCGUCACUGGAGUAGAGUUCAUCUCCAUAUUACCUGGAGCCACUGCGGUCAUCCACAGUGCUACGACAUGUCCCUCUUCAAACGAGGCUUGUGGAGAGUACUUAACGGUAGGCACCGGCUUGGCUCUGUCCCUGGCAUUACUACAUUACGGGCAAGGUGGGCAAACGCAAUACUUCGUCUGUUUCUUUUUAAUAACGCGUCAAUUUUGUAAAUAUCUUCAGUUUCUGUCAUUUUAAUCAAUUUUUAAUAAGUCGUCCUUUCUAAGCUCAUCAUCAAAAGGCACGUCAUGUCGUCGUAACCACGUUUGCAUUACCGCCUUGGUACAAACCAGUCGGCUUUUUUCUUUUCGAACCGAAUGGUAAGCUGCGUUAUCCAUCACGGUGAUAGAAUUUGGUGGUAUAUUAGGCAUCAGCUUUUAUCCAUUUACAUACUUACUCUACAUUUAUCUCUUUACUGAAAUUCAGGAAAAUCACAGUCGUGAUAACCCCUGUGUUACAUUUGGAUUAUCACAAGUGCUCCGUCUACAAAUCCAGUUUGACCUUCACAAUGUUCGAUGAUCAUAUGAUAUGACGCCUUAAAACUCUCAAAAUAAUUAAUUAAAUUUACUUAAAUUUUGACGCUCCAAUUCUAUAUGUUCGCCAGAGAACUAUUUUAAAGCCUUUUACAAGAAGACUGACCAAUCCAAGGGGUCAAUCAUCCCCUAAACUCAAUUUGAUUGUCGUCGUGGCGACAGGUGCAUUGCAUGCAGGGCUUUAGGUGCAUUCAUAUCUAGCGACGUAUCGGUGUUCGAAUCCCGCAGGCCGCUACCAAUUCUUCUAAUAAAAAACGUACUUAACACAUAUUGUUAAGUACGUUUUUCAUUUUUCACGAUUGACUUCCACGGUGAAGAAUCGUGUAAUAAAAAUCAAACACGCAAAUUAUAAUUUGCGUAGUUACUGGCAGUAGCACGUCUUGCGAGUCCGCGCGGGUCGGUACCUCCGCCUCAUUUAUUUCUGCCGUGACGCAGUAAUGCGUUUCGGUUUGAACGGUGGGGCAGCCGUUGUACUGUAAAAACUGAGACCUAGUACUUAUAUCUCAAGGUAGGUGGCGGCAUUUACGUUGUAGAUACCUAUGGGCUCCGGUAGCCACUAACAGCAGGUGGGCCGCGUGAUCGUCCACCCAUCUAAGCAAUAAAAAAAAAUGGCUCUGUGUGUAGCGAGCGAGCGAGAGGGCAUUAUUCACGCACAUGAGAGUGAGUGAGACAUGUAUUAGCAUAUAUUACCUUCCUGCUUCUCUGUUACAGUUUACCCAUAUUAAUUAAUUAUUAAUAUCGCACCUCCCUCCAUCGGAGCAGUCCAUCCAUAUUAUCCGUAACCGCUGCGUUCAUCGACAGUGUGUUUCCAGAGGUCUUUUUUGUCACAUACCGUCCGGCAAUAUUUUUUUAUCGCUUUUCUAGGCAGACGAGCAUGCGGGCCACCUGAUGGUAAGUGGUUACCGUCGCUCAUGGACUUCAGCAAUUCCAGGGGCAGAGUCAAGCCGCUGCCUACUGCAGCAUACCGUGCUUAUUGUGGCGGUAGCCAUCACAGAACACAAGAUAUUUGACAGAUGCCUGAGUCUUUUUGAAGUGAAAACUUAUUUAGCAUCGUUGUAAUUCGAAAAUCGAUGAAAAGAAAAAGCGACAGUCAGAAGAGACACAUUGUCAUAAGAUUUAACGUGAGAAAAUAAGACAAGAAGCAUUAUAAUACAGUGUUUCUUAUAUUCGUGGUUCUCUUUGUGCUCUGCUUCGUACUUAAUACAUUCUGAAUAAAUAUAUGCUAUAUAUACGAAUAAAAUAUUAAAUAAUUAUCAAACUUUGUAACAUUAUGAUCAUUACUAAAACCUACAAUUAUCCCGAAAUUUUACAUUCGUCUCAUUAACUUGAAUUCGAACUUUUUUACGAUAUCACUUUUACCACGUGUGAAUUGUACACAUGCUUUUUUUCUUUAUAUAUAUUUUUGUUCUAUCGCUCGCACCAUCGAUUCGCCAUAACCAAGACUGGCUAUCGUGUAUUUGCUACCAUCGACUUGGUUAAAGCAUUUAAUCAAAUACCUGUUUUUGAAGACGAUAUACCAAAAACAGCGAUAA
Long non-coding RNA from Bombyx mori (domestic silkworm), 5043 nucleotides. RefSeq lists it as uncharacterized. The record is from RefSeq and is a predicted model, not a curated record. The transcript has 2 exons. NCBI's taxonomy places the organism in Eukaryota, Metazoa, Arthropoda, Insecta, Lepidoptera, Bombycidae.